Drosophila virilis is the source of this 1335-nucleotide non-coding RNA. The record is from RefSeq and is a predicted model, not a curated record. NCBI's taxonomy places the organism in Eukaryota, Metazoa, Arthropoda, Insecta, Diptera, Drosophilidae.
UUUUCCAGUUAAGAUAAAAUACACAUUAAAAGUGUAGAUCGUACGUUAAAGCCUAUUUUAUAAGCAUGUAACAACUAUGACGUCACAAAAGCCAAGUCAACUGCAAGACACACACACGCAAUCGUACGAGUUCUAGGAAAAAAUAUCGAAAUUCCAAGAAUUCACACGAAAUACAAAAUGAGAUUGCCUCGAGCGAGCGAGCGACGGUCAACCAAGCGGGCGAGCGAGCGAGGGAGCUGGAACGAUGCGGCAAGGUAUUCCCUUGUCUCUGGUGCUUAUCACAACUCACGCGCGUCUCGUUCCAUUUCGAACCCAAAAUCACAUUAUCUCCGUUGCCCAAUACCAAUGGCAACGGCGACUCAACUAAUGGAUACUCUGCGGCGUAAAGCAUAUCACAGAUGAUGAUGAUGGGCUCUUUGGGCAACAACGAACGAGAAGCAGACGCCGCCGACGCGGCCGCUGCCGCCGUUGCCAUGGCCGUAGAGGAAGAUUGAAGAUGCGGCGCUUAUCGAAACAGAAACACAAGACAAGAGACAAACGGCAAAGAAGACGAACCCGAAAAGAGUUCAGCUGGCUGCGCAGGAUAGCACUCGGUCUAUACUGGAACUCUGGAUCUGGAGUCACCGAGUCACCAGCUCACCAGCACUCUGCGCAUAUUUCUGUGUCUCUGCUUAUCGUCGGCGCUGCGGACUUUUUGUUUUAUUUCUUUUUUUUUUGGUUUUCGUUUUUUUGUACACGUUUGCAUCUUGAAAUGCACAUGGGCAAAAUGAUCGGAGCUGUGACGGCGCUGAGAAAGGGUUCCACUUCCACCUCAGAAAUGUGGCGCCAAAGGAAGCGUUGAAAAUGGUACUUGAUAUUGAUCGCGAUGUCCGUGUGUGUGUAUCUCUACAUCUGUGCGAGUGUGCGUGCGUGCGUGUGUGUGUGAGGUUCUGUAAUUUAGACGGCGCCUCGAUCCUUGUUUCACACUAAUGCACUUGCAGCUUUUAAAUGUCACCACAACUCGUGCGGGGGGCUGAGGUUAAGUGCAGACGAGGGGCAACGUAUCGGAUCGGACGGCUCCACUGGUUGCUUGUCAGAUAUGGCCUCUAGGCCAUUUGUGAGCUGCAAGUUUUAUUUUGUUGCCUCCGAUGGCAGAGCAUGCAAGACGAUUGUGUAUUCAAUUGGAAUAAUUAGCGGUAUCAGUCAGGAUUUGUUUAUGUUGCCUGCCAUGACAAAUAUCCAAACGGAAUCCAUUUAAAGCAGAACUCAAUACUUGUUUUUUAAGAAUGUUGUACGAUUGUAAAGUUGUUAAAUAUUAAAAAAGAAAAAGGUUAUAUGCAAUUGUGCGUUUCCGAA